This is a long non-coding RNA of Olea europaea var. sylvestris, 1115 nucleotides long. RefSeq lists it as uncharacterized. The record is from RefSeq and is a predicted model, not a curated record. Lineage: Eukaryota; Viridiplantae; Streptophyta; Magnoliopsida; Lamiales; Oleaceae. The transcript is spliced from 2 exons.
AUAGGUUGUUUCUUUGAUUGUUUACGCUAGAGUCGUAACAUUCUCAUUGUAUUUUGUAGGAAAAAUCCCAAGAAGAGGGUGACACUAGGCGUGAAUGGGAGAUGAGAACCUAGUUAUCGAGGGAAUGGAGAAAAUAAAAUUCAACAAAGGCGGAGUAAGAGAGGGUAAAAAAAAUAAAAAUGGUUGCGCCACAACACGGCGCUGCGGCGCCACGCUGCCUAAACCUAUCCUUUCCCCAGUGAUUUAUUUAUUUUAUUUUUAUUUCUCAAAAUUUUUCUGUUGUUUUCCAACUUCUCCGUCCCCAAAUCUCUCUCAAACCCUACAUCUCUUACUCUUCUUCUUCCAUAUCCUAUAUACUAAUCUCUUUCGUACAUAUCAAGCCCAUUAUCUUCAACACCACCAAUGCAUAGAUCUCACACCUCAACAGAACUUUAACUUAGUGGGCUUUCUACACAUGGAAGGAGUGCUCAAUGCCAUCUAUUAAGAAAUCAAAAUCUUCGACCUCUUCAUAAAGCUCCUUUGACAACAGUAAAUUUGUGGGUGAGAAGCAAAGAAUCGAUAUAAUGACAUUGUAGUUCACAAAAAUUAUAUUCCAGGACGGAGUUUUGACGACCUUGAGCUUUAUAUAAUGGAACAGAUUAAGGGUAGGAAUUGGAAGUUUUUUACAGAGCAACCACGGUCAGGGUUAGUAGCAAUGGUGCAUGAAUUUUUCGCAAAUGUUAAGGACCACAAGGAUUUAAAGGUUUAUGUUAGAGGAAAGUGGAUCUGUUUUGACAAACCUUCGAUCAAUGAAUUCCGUGGAUUGCUAGAUGGUGAUGAAGAUGACUUCUUCAGAAUGCGUGAAGAGGGGCAAUCUUUCCGACAGACAUAAAUCGAGAGUUAGCCUCAUCCGGGCAUCACAUGGAAACGAUUCAGCACCGAUGCCACCAAUUUUCUGGCCGUGGGCAUGUUUCUAGAAUGCAAAGCAUGGCAUUAUUUUAUAUGUGCUAAACUUUUGCCGGCAACAAUAUUUAUUUUUGGUUUUAUGAGUUUUGGUGUAAUAUUUUUUGCUUAUUUUAUUCACCAGGACUCAAUAAUUAUUUUUACAAUAGAGUCAAUUUAGUUAAACAUUGAAU